CAGCAGCCACGGUAAUACGUAGGUGGCAAGCGUUGUCCGGAAUUAUUGGGCGUAAAGGGCUCGUAGGCGGUUUCUUAAGUCUGAUGUGAAAGCCCCCGGCCCAACCGGGGAGGCUCAUUGGAAACUGGGAAACUUGAGUGCAGAAGAGGAGAGUGGAAUUCCACGUGUAGCGGUGAAAUGCGUAGAGAUGUGGAGGAACACCAGUGGCGAAGGCGACUCUCUGGUCUGUAACUGACGCUGAGGAGCGAAAGCGUGGGGAGCGAACAGGAUUAGAUACCCCUGUAGUCCCUGUCUCUUAUAC
Molecule: ribosomal RNA, 301 nt
Filed under: uncultured bacterium
Lineage: Bacteria
Description: partial 16S ribosomal RNA
Rfam family: Bacterial small subunit ribosomal RNA
Source: RNAcentral